GACUCUCAGCCCCGUGUUCUUUCCACCAUACAGAGUAGCACAAGUUACAAGGAAAGAAGUUUGGGCUCCCUGUGAAGAAGAGUUUUCUUAUACUCAGAACCAUUCAAAAAGUGGUUCCAAAAAUGGAACCAAAAAAGUGAUUCCAAAAAACCAAGUUCCCCAGCCCUGGGGAAAUCCAAGCAGAGUCCAGGCACCACCUUCCAGAAAUAUGGCAGGCACAAUUCAGGGUGAGGGGCUGGCCCUGAUAACAGUCCAACCUCUGUUCGUCUGUGAGAGACCAUUGAUAUUCAGGAAAACAAAACAUUUCUUUAAGCCUCAGUUUUCUCAUAUGAGAAACGGAAAUACUAAUAAUUCCCAGGUUGGAGGGUUUCUGUGAGACUGAAAUGAGAUAAUUCAGAUAAUGCAUGUAAAAUUAUUAGCACAGUACCUGGCACAAUAAAAGUAACUUCUGGCUUCCCGAUAACAUGUCCCUGGCACGCCAUCGGUAAUAAAGGCCAUGAAAGUUUUUCCUUGUGAACAUUCCACUUAGAAUCAUAAAAUAUUGAUGUCUGAGGCACCCCUGGAGGUCAUCUAACCAACCCGCCCGUGUUCCACAUGAAGGAGCACGGACUCUCUGAGGGCUCCACAGCCCAGUUGGGCCUAGAACUGCAGCACCAAGCUCCUCUGCCCUCUGUUGGCAGCCUGGUGUGUCCUCCUGCCAGCCGGGCCUCAGGGGAGGCAAGCAUACCAGAGCCCAGGGGAGGGCAAGGGGGCCAGGGCAGCACUUCUAACGGGCAACAGGAGAGAAAUCCGAACUGUCUGAUGAGAAAAAAAAUCAGAGUUUAUUGGUUGGAGUUUUGGCUGUGUGUACGUGUUGUGUGUGCAGAUGGAAGGGGGAUUGAAACCCAAUGAGACAAGGGAAAUUGAAGUUAAGGAAUAGAUUGUUUGGCUUAAUAUUUUUUUUUCUAAAUAAAGAAUCUGUAGGAAAUUAGAGCCAGGACUGGACUGUAAUUCUCUGAGAGCAGAGGAAGAGGAAGAGAAAGAUGAUAUGGCCCGAGACGGAGGAGAA
RNAcentral lists this long non-coding RNA (1048 nucleotides) under Marmota monax (woodchuck). Lineage: Eukaryota; Metazoa; Chordata; Mammalia; Rodentia; Sciuridae. The record is from RNAcentral.